AGCACUCUAUCCACUAGACCACCUGGCUACCUUAAAGAAAAAUAAUGCUGAGAAGAAUAACUUGCUUCUCCUUCCCAGUCUUGUAAAAAUUUCUGUUGUGACACAUUUGCAUUAGAAUAAGCAUUUUUCAACGCUGAAACAUGAUAAACUCAUCAUGGAGGUGAUUCAAGGUUUUAUUAGCUUCUCGAAGGAGUAUUGAAGUAAACCCCUGGGUCCAAUGUCUUUGAUCCAAAAUUUUAUGAGUCUUGGUGACUAUCCCAGAGUCUUGCAAGGUACCAUAUGCUGUCUUGCUGAUCAUACAGAUUUCUGUUUUAAAGUGAACAGAGCUAUCAGAAUUGCCUCUUGUAUCCUUAUUGAGUAUCCUUUCUGUGCUUUGACCAAGUAAACUUACUUUUAUUAGUUAUUGAAUGACAUAUGUGUGUUUCAUUUCAUUCCAGCAUUGGACUUAAAUAACUAGGGGAACAGGCUAAAUUAGUUUCAUCCUACAAUAAUUAUAAAUGGAAGAUAGCAUUGCAUUUGGAGAAUGACAUUA
This 532-nucleotide long non-coding RNA is filed under the name Sarcophilus harrisii (Tasmanian devil). Its description in RNAcentral is "lncRNA (ENSSHAG00000026398.1)". The record is from RNAcentral. Lineage: Eukaryota; Metazoa; Chordata; Mammalia; Dasyuromorphia; Dasyuridae.